UAAAUAGCCGCAGUAUAUUGACUGUGCAAAGGUAGCAUAAUCAUUUGGUCUUUAAAUGGGAUCUAGUAUGAAAGGGUUAACGGGGCUUUUCUGUCUUAAAAAUAUUUUUUGAAUUUAUAAUUUUUGUAAUAAUACAAGAAUUUAAUUAAGGGACGAUAAGACCCUAUAAAGCUUAAUUUUAAAUAUAAAUUGUUUUUAUUCAAUUUAAUUUAUAGCAUAAAUUUUACUGGGGCGGUACUUUAAUAUUAAAACUAAAGUGGUAUAAAAAUUUGAUCCAAUUUUAUUGAUCAAAAGAUUAAGUUACUUUAGGGAUAACAGCAUAAUUCACUUAGGGAGUUCAAAUCGAAAGGUGAGAUUGUGACCUCGAUGUUGAAUUAAAGUUUCUUUAGGGUGUAGGUGCUCUAAAAGUUAGUCUGUUCGACUAUUAAAUUUUUACAUGAUCUG
Molecule: ribosomal RNA, 444 nt
Filed under: Megabunus vignai
Lineage: Eukaryota; Metazoa; Arthropoda; Arachnida; Opiliones; Phalangiidae
Description: partial 16S ribosomal RNA
Rfam family: Bacterial large subunit ribosomal RNA
Source: RNAcentral